AUGAAAGGGGGGGGCCAAGGAGGAGGCCUGCAGGGACAGAGCCCGGGGGGGCCAGGGCCCAGAGCCCAGGGCCCAGGUGCUCUGGCUGCAGAGCAGACCCAGAAGACACGGGCCCGGAGGGCAAACAGCAGGCCAGGCAAGGGGCCACGAGCAGGCUUCUGGGUGGUGGAGGCCCACCACGCCAAGGACAGGCCCGCUCACCCAGGGCAGGGCCGGGCUGGGGCAGCAGGACGCCCCAGUGGUCACACGGCCUACUUUCUUGCAGCCUCCAGCAAGGCCCCAUCGGUCUAUCCUCCGACUGCUGGAUGCUGGGACACGCCUGGCUCCACGGUGGCCUUCGGCUGCCUGGUCUGGGGUUACAUCCCUGAGCCGGUGAUGGUGACCUGGAACUCGGGCGCCCUGUCCAGCAGCAUCCACACCUUCCCGUCCAUUCUCAUGUCCUCGGGUCUCUACUCCCUCAGCAGCUUGGCGACCAUGCCCGCCAGCAGCUCGGCCGGCAAGACAUUCAUCUGCAACGUAGCCCACCCGGCCAGCAGCACCAAGGCGGACAAGCGUGUGGGCAAGAGGACAGGCCUCAGGGAGGGCGUCCACUCCCAGACAGGACCGAGGUCAGCCCUCCUCCCAGCUCAAGCCACAUGCCAGGAUGGCGACCUCUGCCCAGGGAAUCAGAGGAGAUGCGACCCCAGCUCCCAGUGUCCCAAAUGCCCAGCCCCUGAGCUCCUUGGAGGGCCCACGGUCUUCAUCUUCCCCCCAAAACCCAAGGACGUCCUCUCCAGCACCCGAACACCUGAGGUCACGUGCCUUGUGGUGGACGUGGGUAAGGAAGACCCUGAGAUUGAGUUCAGCUUGUCCGUGGAUGACACAGAGGUACACACGGCUGAGACAAAGCCAAAGGAGGAACAGUUCAACAGCACGUACCGCGUGGUCAGCGUCCUGCCCAUCCAGCACCAGGACUGGCUGACGGGGAAGGAGUUCAAGUGCAAGGUCAACAACAAAGCUCUCCCGGCCCCCAUCGAGAGGACCAUCUCCAAGGCCAAAGGGCAGGCCCGGGAGCCGCAGGUGUACACCCUGGCCCCACACCAGGAAGACCUGGCCAAGGACACUGUGAGCGUAACCUGCCUGAUCAAAGGCUUCUACCCACCUGACAUCAACGCUGAGUGGCAGAGGAACGGGCGGCCGGAGGCAGAGGGCGCCUACGCCACCACGCUGCCCCAGCCGGACAACGCCGGGACCUACAUCCUCUACAGCAAGCUCUCAGUGGGAAAGAACACGUGGCAGCGGGGAGAAGUCUUCACCUGUGUGGCGAUGCACUAGGCUCUACACAGAUCACUCCACCCAGAAAUCCAUCUCCCAGUCUCCGGGUAAAUGA
This is an RNA transcript of Camelus dromedarius (Arabian camel), 1369 nucleotides long. It is a transcript of the gene named Ig gamma chain C region-like, with no coding region annotated. NCBI's taxonomy places the organism in Eukaryota, Metazoa, Chordata, Mammalia, Artiodactyla, Camelidae. The record is from RefSeq and is a predicted model, not a curated record. The transcript is spliced from 5 exons.